Molecule: ribosomal RNA, 492 nt
Filed under: Thysanoessa sp. BD-2006
Lineage: Eukaryota; Metazoa; Arthropoda; Malacostraca; Euphausiacea; Euphausiidae
Description: partial 16S ribosomal RNA
Rfam family: Bacterial large subunit ribosomal RNA
Source: RNAcentral
AAAAACAUGUCUUUAUGUUAGUAUUUAUAAAGUCUGGCCUGCCCACUGAAUAAAUUUAAAGGGCCGCGGUAUCUUGACCGUGCAAAGGUAGCAUAGUCAUUAGUCUUUUAAUUGGAGGCUUGUAUGAAUGGUCGCACAAGAAAUAAUUUGUCUUAACAGAAUCUAUUGAACUUAACUUUUAAGUAAAAAGGCUUAAAUAAGUUAAAGUGACGAUAAGACCCUAUAAAACUUUAUAAUUUAAACUAAGAAAGUAUAUUAGUUAUUUAAAAUUUUCUUUGUUAACGUUAUUUUAUUGGGGCGAUAAAAAUAAAAAUAGUAACUGUUUUUAAAAUUUAAAUGGUAAUUGCCAGUUUUAUUGAAUGAUCCUUUAGUAAAGAUUAUAAGAUUAAGUUACUUUAGGGAUAACAGCGUAAUUUUCUUUAAGAGCUCUUAUCUACAAGAAAGAUUGCGACCUCGAUGUUGAAUUAAAAUUUCUUUAAGGUGUAGCAGCUU